Oryzias melastigma (Indian medaka) is the source of this 557-nucleotide long non-coding RNA. RefSeq lists it as uncharacterized. Lineage: Eukaryota; Metazoa; Chordata; Actinopteri; Beloniformes; Adrianichthyidae. The record is from RefSeq and is a predicted model, not a curated record. The transcript is spliced from 3 exons.
UCAGCCUCCACUUGCCCCAUGGAUCAUUGGUGUAUCCAGCCGCAUGGGUUCCGUCUGGGCAGGAGGGGUCCGCUUUUUAAGCUCUCCAUGUUUCUGCUCAGCUAACGCUCCAGAAAGAGGACAAAUCAGACCCCUUUUCAUCCGUGCAACCUUUGUAUUUGACGGUUCUUCGAGGGAAAACAAAGCUGAACCCUCCAAUACCUGGUACUCAAGAAGAGAAGGAAUUUCAAGGAAACAAGUUCAAGUUGUUUGCAUAACCAUGAAAGAAGUUAGAAAGAUGAAAUGCAGAGACAAAGCUUAUUAUGAUGAAUUCAGUUUAGAUCACUCAAAACGAGUAAUGACGCAUAAGAGGGUUAGUCGGAAAAGAAUUUCAGUUACAUUUAAAGAUGCUGACAGGUUGAGUCUUUGUUAGGUCUUAGCAAACAGAAUAUGCAGGUGCAGGUAGGAGUCUUGCUAAAUCAGACAGCUUUAGUGAUGUUAGUCAUGCAUGUCUUCAGUAAUGAUGACUUUAGCAUCAAAUGGAAACACAAAUAUACUCCUGUCCAUAGAGACUAAUA